Molecule: ribosomal RNA, 350 nt
Filed under: Myurellopsis joserosadoi
Lineage: Eukaryota; Metazoa; Mollusca; Gastropoda; Neogastropoda; Terebridae
Description: Myurella joserosadoi partial 12S ribosomal RNA
Source: RNAcentral
UUNCCNGAGUACUAUGAAUAUAAAAAAUUUAAAACUCAAAGAACUUGGCGGUGUUUUAGACCACUCAGGGGAACCUGUCUCGUAAUCGAUAAUCCACGUUGUAUCUGACCUUUCUUUGUUUUCAGUUUGUAUACCGUUGUCGUCAGGUAACUUUUUAGAAACUAGAAGUUAGCAGUAGAAAUAUGGUAAUUUAAUACGUCAAAUCAAGGUGCAGCUAAUAGAGAGGGGAGGAUGGGUUACAGUUAUAUGAUUUAUAAUUACGGAGGAAUAUAUGAAAUAUGUAUUGUUUAAGGCGGACUUGAAAGUAAAUUAGGAUAUGUGAAUAACUUGAAUGAGGCUCUGAAACGUGU